This 1472-nucleotide long non-coding RNA is filed under the name Anas platyrhynchos platyrhynchos (common mallard). RNAcentral describes it as "lncRNA (ENSAPLG00000029021.1)". Lineage: Eukaryota; Metazoa; Chordata; Aves; Anseriformes; Anatidae. The record is from RNAcentral.
UCUCCCCAAGCACUUUAAUCCCUACUCUGUUCCUCUUUCUAUGGUGUGAGAGCUACAUCUCUCAGCACGUCCAGAGAACCUUCUUGCCCUUUCUUCAGCACAAUCAACAUGGAAGAAAGCAAUACAAAUUUUAGACAAAUUUGGGCAGCAACCCACACAGCUAGCAAAACGACAUGGGAACAAUAAGAAACUAUUUAAACAGUCACUAGGAAGUUAAAACAAAUUAAAUUAAACUUUAAAGGGGGGGGGGGGGGGGGGAAGAAGGGAGAGGGAAAAAGCAACAACAACAACAAAACACAACUAAAAGAAACAAACAAAAACCAACCCAAGAGCUAAAUAAAGCAUGGAGAAAGAAGGAAGGAAGCCAACAUUUGGGAAGCAUAUUAAGUUAGCUUGUUUGGGUGAGGCUGCACGGCAACAGACUCAGCUUUGCUCCUGAGUUCUGUGAAAAACAGGAUUGUAACAACCACAUACCUGCCAAGUCCUGCACAGAUAACAGAUGUUAGGGACACUCCUUUACUCAAAGUGGAGCCAAGAUCCAAGAUCUGUUGAAAGAAGGAAGAGAAAGAACCACUUCAGUCUGAAUUGUGCAAGGAAGAGGACAAGGAGUUUAAAAAGGGGCCCCAAGGAGAGAAAGGGGUUUAAGGAGAAGGGAAGAGCUAAACAAGAGCACACUCAAGUGAAAACCUGGAAAUUUAACCAGAAUUUUUGUGUCUCUGUAAAGCAGUAAGUAUCUGAAAAGUGCAGGGGCUUCCAAACCUUGAUAUCCUGGCAGGUUAUCUAUUAGCCUUAAAUGUCAGAAGCACAAAAUUGCAUGUUGGCUGGUGGUGUGGUAACACUCCUGCUGCUGUGGUUCACCUUCAUAGAAGAUAACCCUGUUACUGCCAAUUUGUUAGGUCUGUGGUCUGGUCCUCAAGGUCACUGCAUGACUCAAUUCUUGUUGAAAGAAGAGAUUAGUAUUCUAUGUCACACCCUACACUUUGCAUGAUAUACUCCUUACUUUAUCUGCUUUUACCAUUUUUUUUUUUUUCCUGCAUAUGUGAGCAGAUUAAUGUGCAGAUGUGCAGAGAUGAGCUUGCAGUAAACGUCCCAUGAAAAAUCUAAUUUUUGCAUCCUCAGGGCAUGCUUUUAUUUAUUUAUUUAAACAAAUAAUCUCUGAAGUCUGUAGAAGACAUACAUAAGUAUGUGCUGUGGUGUAACCUGCGAGGCUGUUUACUGAAAUAUAACUCUUCAUUUAUUGUUUUGACAAAGUUAGGUGAUUGUCAUGAAAAACUACAUUGACCUUUCUCUGAGUGCUAACUCAUGGGUUUGCAUGUAUUUCCUGUGAUGAAAGUAGAAAAAGACGUUGACCCAUGAUGUUUUCUGAAGCUUUGAAGUUGGUCUUAGUGUAUUACUAGUCGUAGCUGAAGUUCAAAGAAUAGGUGGGAUGCUGUUUGAGAUUCUUAUGUGCUAUAGUUUUGUCUUUAAGUUUU